This is a non-coding RNA of Microcebus murinus (gray mouse lemur), 1169 nucleotides long. The record is from RefSeq and is a predicted model, not a curated record. Lineage: Eukaryota; Metazoa; Chordata; Mammalia; Primates; Cheirogaleidae.
UCCUUAGCUGUAAAUAAAGACAGGAGCGAAGGCAUCUAACCCUUUCCUCCUCCUCUAUCAGCUUGUCACGUUCAGUGGCGUGCUUCUUGUCAGGGUGGAUGUGAAAGGCCUGUUUCCCAGACUCACUUUCUUGGGUUUUUUUUUGUUUGUUUGUUUGUUUUAUGUGCAUGUGGAACUUUGCUGUCAGACACGGAGCCUUGUCGCUGACACUCAGGGCCCUCUGGUGUUUACUCCUACCUCCCUCCAGAAUGUUUUCUCAUCAGGAGAGGAAUAAAUUCAAAUCCUGUUGAAGAUUUUAUGGUAUAUUUCCAAUUAGUCACUGAAUCUCCCUGUGAGAAGAUUGUGUUUUCCCAAGCCAUUGACACCAAGUUUGGCAUGUGAUUGGUCAAGUGUGCUCUCAAAGGAAGUAACGUAUACCGUGCCUGAGCGAAGGUUUUACAGCCAUUCUCGUGGUUCUGCCAUUGUUCUUUCUGCCCCUUCACCCCUAGGUAGGAGCUGCUCCUUCUGCCUAGAUCUCGGAAUGGAGAAGACACAUGGAGCGCAGGCACGAUGGACAGCAGCUGACAGACUGAUGGUAGUAACUAGCUCUGGCUGGCUGCCUCUCCCCAACUUCCUGGAUGCUGGUAGUGCCCAGAUGUAGAAAGAUCUUUUAACUAAAGCUCAUAGACAGAAGGAUAAAAUCUGUCCCUGUUACUCAGUCCCAGUCAGAAGCAGAAGUCAGAACUUCGAGUUUGAAGUCACCUAAAUUUGGAUUACAUUGCCGACUUUGUUCCUUAAGGCUAGUGUGACCUGAGUCAAGUUAUGUAAACUGCCUGAACCUUGGUUUAGUUUCCAUUAAAUGGGGCAAACAAAGCCUUCCUCUAUAUGGUCCCGCAAGGGAAGAACGAGGAAACUCGUGGAGCACGUAGUACGUGCUGCAGGAAGAGAGCGUGAGCAGCCAGGACGUAUGGAGGAGAAAAGCCCCCGUGAGAGAUUGAGGGUGAAGAGAGUAAGAGACACGGAGCAGAGGCACCAGGGAGGGUAAAAGGGAUGGGGAAGAGGUGUGGGGGAGAAAAUGGCCAGGGUGGAGAAGUAAAUGGAGGAAAGAGACGGCAUACCAGAGAGGAGGGAAGGGGAAGGAAUUCUGCAGCCACACAAGGUUGUGUGGUUUGAGCUCUGCAAAGGGGUGC